GGCAAGAUGGCCGAGCGGUCUAAGGCGUAAGUUUCCUCCGCAAGAGGCGGGGGUUCGAAUCCCCCUCUUGUCA
This 73-nucleotide transfer RNA is filed under the name Talaromyces stipitatus ATCC 10500. Its description in RNAcentral is "tRNA-Arg (CCT) (tRNA-Arg-CCT-2-1)". It matches the Rfam family "tRNA". From Rfam's summary of the family: Transfer RNA (tRNA) molecules are approximately 80 nucleotides in length. Their secondary structure includes four short double-helical elements and three loops (D, anti-codon, and T loops). Lineage: Eukaryota; Fungi; Ascomycota; Eurotiomycetes; Eurotiales; Trichocomaceae. The record is from RNAcentral.